UCAAAUGGUCAAGGUGUACCCCAGGCAAUC
This 30-nucleotide non-coding RNA is filed under the name Mus musculus (house mouse). The record is from RNAcentral. Lineage: Eukaryota; Metazoa; Chordata; Mammalia; Rodentia; Muridae.